Molecule: transfer RNA, 68 nt
Filed under: Cricetulus griseus (Chinese hamster)
Lineage: Eukaryota; Metazoa; Chordata; Mammalia; Rodentia; Cricetidae
Rfam family: tRNA
About the family: Transfer RNA (tRNA) molecules are approximately 80 nucleotides in length.
Source: Rfam by way of RNAcentral
GCUAGCUCAGUCAGUAGAGCAUGGGACUCUUAAUCCCAGGGUCAUGGGUUCAUGCCCCAGCAAGAGCA